This 432-nucleotide ribosomal RNA is filed under the name uncultured bacterium. Its description in RNAcentral is "partial 16S ribosomal RNA". It matches the Rfam family "Bacterial small subunit ribosomal RNA", at positions 29 to 507 of the family's 1533-position model. The record is from RNAcentral.
AACGAACGCUGCGGCAUGCCUAACACCUGCCAGUCGAACGCGACCUUCGGGUCUAGUGGCGCACGGGUGCGUAACGCGUGGGAACCUGCCCUUAGGUUCGGAAUAACUCCCCGAAAGGGGUGCUAAUACCGGAUAAUGUCUUCGGACCAAAGAUUUAUCGCCUUUGGAUGGGCCCGCGUUGGAUUAGCUAGUUGGUAGGGUAAAAGCCUACCAAGGCGACGAUCCAUAGCUGGUCUGAGAGGAUGAUCAGCCACACUGGGACUGAGACACGGCCCAGACUCCUACGGGAGGCAGCAGUGGGGAAUAUUGGACAAUGGGCGAAAGCCUGAUCCAGCAAUGCCGCGUGAGUGAUGAAGGCCUUAGGGUUGUAAAGCUCUUUUACCCGGGAUGAUAAUGACAGUACCGGGAGAAUAAGCUCCGGCUAACUCCGUG